This is a long non-coding RNA of Eurytemora carolleeae, 1154 nucleotides long. RefSeq lists it as uncharacterized. The transcript has 3 exons. NCBI's taxonomy places the organism in Eukaryota, Metazoa, Arthropoda, Copepoda, Calanoida, Temoridae. The record is from RefSeq and is a predicted model, not a curated record.
UGUUGGUUAUAGUUUUUACUUUUACUCUUAAUAUUGCCUGGGAUCCUACAAUCCCAUUUCUUAUAGUCCGUGGUAGAAAUGGACCAAGUUUUAGUUUUUGAACUAAUGUCCCCUGUUCUGUUAAAGUUUCUCCUCAAAUAUCCCAACCAAUAGGAAAGCUGCAUUAGUUGCAAGUGCGCUCCUGUAUUAAGGUAAAAAUGUAUAAAUACUAAUUUUUUCUGUAACAUUAUUCAAAAACAAUCUGAUUGCCUUACUGCACGAACAAACCUCACAAAAACAUCAGAAUGCGUUUUAUUUUAUUGCUGUGUUUUGUGGGGCUUGCCCUCACUAGGCCACCAAGGCCCACCAAGGCCUCAGCAGCAGCUCCUGCUUCCAAUCCUGAACCAUUAUAUGCUGAUGCUGUUAUCGACCAAAAUGAGAGCGUUGUCAGUUCUGGUAAGGUUGAGUGGAGAGAUGUUUACGCUCGAGGACUUACUCCUUGCGGAAGGGCCGAUGGAAGACGCCCUUAAAGAAGAAUCUCAAAAUAUAUUGUAUCAAUCCUUUGCCCAGCUCUAAUUAAAAAUAGAAGGAAUUAGAUUUAAAUUCUUUCCUACGUUAAAUUAUAUUUUUAAACCUACAAAUAAUUUCAAAGAACAUAUUAAAGCUAUGUAACAGCCAUCUUCUUGAGAACCGACUUUAAAGGAACUGCAAGUGUAAUGUUAAGUGACCUCCAUGAUAGCAAUACUCAAUUUAUCAUUGAAACCUUAAUCUGAUCAAAAAUCUGGAAGAUAAUGUCGUCUUUCUGACUCGAAAAGUUUUGAUUUAUGUUUGUGAAUUUCUCCAUUUUUCUCCAACAGCAAGAUAUGCGCAAGGAACCGCACAAAUGAAAAUAAACAUUUUUAUAAACUGCUCUAACAAUACUGGAUUAGACAAAGCUUUUAAAGUUACCUAGCUUUGUGAAUCAGGUCAAUUGAUAUGUUUGUAUGAAGAAUAACAUGUAAUUACACUUACAGUCCCAUUAAAGUUUCGCCAGAAUAGCUCUCAACAAUUAAUAUAUGAAAAUGGCGUCGAAAGUAAAGGCUUCAAAAAUAUUAAAACUAAAAAUCUAAAACAUUACAACUGAAUCAGAGGCGUAGUCAGGGGGGCUAUGGGAGCUACCCCCCCCCCCUUCCUUA